Molecule: unclassified non-coding RNA, 263 nt
Filed under: Ascomycota sp.
Lineage: Eukaryota; Fungi; Ascomycota
Description: partial contains small subunit ribosomal RNA, internal transcribed spacer 1, and 5.8S ribosomal RNA
Rfam family: Eukaryotic small subunit ribosomal RNA (bases 1-47)
Source: RNAcentral
AAAGUCGUAACAAGGUCUCCGUAGGUGAACCUGCGGAGGGAUCAUUCACAUGAUUUACUUUAUCUUAAACAAAAACCUGUGAACUAUAAAAACUAUUCGUGUUUAUUCAUUUAAACAUUGUCAUUCGAUUGAACAUAAGAUAGUUGGCUUGUUUUUAUUUAUAAAAACUUUCUCAGCUUUGAUUUCUUUAUAUGAUUAAACAUCAUAUAAGAAUCAUCCAUAAAACAUAGAAACAACUCUAUGCCCUGGAUAUCUUGGUUCUC